RNAcentral lists this transfer RNA (69 nucleotides) under Crotaphytus vestigium. RNAcentral describes it as "tRNA-Ala". The record is from RNAcentral. Lineage: Eukaryota; Metazoa; Chordata; Lepidosauria; Squamata; Crotaphytidae.
UAAAACCUGUGGAGCACUAAACCACAUCCUCUGAAUGCAACUCAGACACUUUAAUUAAGCUAAGGCCUC